UACGUAGGAGGCAAGCGUUAUCCGGAAUGACUGGGCGUAAAGGGUGCGUAGGUGGUUUGGCAAGUUGGUAGCGUAAUCCCGGGGCUCAACCCCGGAACUGAUUUUAAAACUGCUGUGCUUGAGUGAUGGAGAGGAAAGCGGAAUUCCUAGUGUAGCGGUGGAAUGCGUAGAUAUUAGGAGGAACACCAGAGGCGAAGGCGGCUUUCUGGACAUUAACUGACGCUGAGGCUCGAAAGCGUGGGGAGCAAACAGG
This 253-nucleotide ribosomal RNA is filed under the name uncultured Eubacteriales bacterium. RNAcentral's name for it is "uncultured Clostridiales bacterium partial 16S ribosomal RNA". It matches the Rfam family "Bacterial small subunit ribosomal RNA", at positions 524 to 776 of the family's 1533-position model. Lineage: Bacteria; Bacillati; Bacillota; Clostridia; Eubacteriales. The record is from RNAcentral.